This is a long non-coding RNA of Nilaparvata lugens (brown planthopper), 527 nucleotides long. RefSeq lists it as uncharacterized. The transcript has 2 exons. The record is from RefSeq and is a predicted model, not a curated record. Lineage: Eukaryota; Metazoa; Arthropoda; Insecta; Hemiptera; Delphacidae.
AUUUUUUCCAACAUUUUCCAGUUUCUCAAUGAUAGGGGAGUUAUAAUUAUUUGUAUAGGUCUUCUAAGGAACCAUUAUCUUCAGCUGGUACCAAUCAACUAAACUUCAACUCCAAACCACCGUAUUAAUACCAGUAUACAAUUUAUAAGUCUAUUACAGCUGUUAACUUUAGAUGCUAAAUCAUAUUAUCACAACAUUAUCUUCAAUCAUGAUCAUCUUCCCGUUCAUCGGUAGCCGCUGGGCCGACAAUUUUGGAAACAUAGUUUCUCGAUUGAUCAAAGCACCACAGACUGCAUCGUUCGUCACCUCUGCCUUUAAGCGCGUUAUCACCUACUCCAAUAAGCCACCCCAAUAUCCUUAAUAAGCAAUAGAAGUUCUUAUCGACUGUGUAUGACUCAUUAAUAUCCAUGUUCUGUAUAAAUUUAUGUGAUGGGCCUACUGGUAUUAAUGCUGAUGUACCGUAAUGUUUUUUGCUCAUGUAUAAUUGAUAAUAAUACAUUAAAAAUAAAUAUAAUGUUAAAUUAUUA